This 566-nucleotide ribosomal RNA is filed under the name Congriscus megastomus. RNAcentral describes it as "partial 16S ribosomal RNA". It matches the Rfam family "Bacterial large subunit ribosomal RNA", at positions 1908 to 2606 of the family's 2925-position model. The record is from RNAcentral. Lineage: Eukaryota; Metazoa; Chordata; Actinopteri; Anguilliformes; Congridae.
GUGACCACAGUGUUUAACGGCCGCGGUAUCCUGACCGUGCGAAGGUAGCGUAAUCACUUGUCUUUUAAAUGAAGACCUGUAUGAAUGGCAUCACGAAGGUUCAACUGUCUCCUUCCCCCAGUCAAUGAAAUUGAUCUGCCCGUGCAGAAGCGGACAUAAAAACAUAAGACGAGAAGACCCUGUGGAGCUUUAGGCCAAGGAUCAAACAUGUAAAACAGACUAAAACCCUAAAAAGAAUAAUAAAAGUCCAAAAACCAAGAGUAACCUGAUCCUAAUGCCUUCGGUUGGGGCGACCGCGGGGGAAAAUAAAGCCCCCACAUGGAAUGGAACUACUUCCUAAACCAAGAGUUACAACUCUAAGUAACAGAAUUUCUGACCACCUAUGACCCAGGACAAACAUAAACCUGAUCAAUGAACCAAGUUACCCCAGGGAUAACAGCGCAAUCCUUUCCCAGAGUCCAUAUCGACGAAAGGGUUUACGACCUCGAUGUUGGAUCAGGACAUCCUAAUGGUGCAGCCGCUAUUAAGGGUUCGUUUGUUCAACGAUUAAUAGUCCUACGUGAUCU